This 793-nucleotide ribosomal RNA is filed under the name uncultured eukaryote. RNAcentral's name for it is "bacterial SSU rRNA". It matches the Rfam family "Eukaryotic small subunit ribosomal RNA", at positions 87 to 944 of the family's 1831-position model. The record is from RNAcentral.
CUGCGAAUGGCUCAUUAAAACAGUUGUAAUCUCCACGAUGAUCGACAUAAAUGGAUAUCCAUGGUAAUUCUGAGGUCAAUACAUGCCAAAUUCUUCGGAAAGCAUUCAUUAACAAUCAGAAUUAGCGACGAGACUUGUCUCGAAUUUGUGAUCAUAAUGAUUAUUCAGAUCGCAUUGCGACGAUUCGUUCGAGCUUCUGACCUAUCAGCUUUUGUCGGUAAGGUAUUGGCUUACUGAGGCUGUGACGGGUGACGGGGAAUUAGGGUUCGAUUCCGGAGAGGGAGCCUGAGAGACGGCUACCACAUCUAAGGAUGGCAGCAGGCGCGCAAAUUACCCAAUCCCGAAACGGGGAGGUAGUGAUAAGAUAUAGCAGCAUGGGACAUAUGUUUCGUGAUUGCAAUGAGCAGAAAGUACAACUGUUUGCGAUUAUCAAUUGGAGGGCAAGUCUGGUGCCAGCAGCCGCGGUAAUUCCAGCUCCAAUAGCGUAUAUUAAUACUGCUGCAGUUGAAGCGUUCGUAGUUGAGUUUCUUCUGGGAGUUGAAUUCGGCAGUAAUGCUGGAUUAUUCUCGGAUGUUGAUUUUCAAUUCAAAUUGAAUUUCGGGUGUUACUUUGAGUAAAUUGGAGUGUUCCAUGCAGGCAAUCGCCUGGACUACUCAGCAUGGAAUAACAAGAUACGACUCUGUCUUUCUUGUUGGUUUUAUGGAUCAGAGAUAAUGAUUGACAAGGGCGUUCGGGGGCAUUUGUACUUGCUGGAGAGAGGUGAAAUUUCUAGACCCAGCGAAGACAAACUAAU